Molecule: ribosomal RNA, 253 nt
Filed under: uncultured bacterium
Lineage: Bacteria
Description: partial 16S ribosomal RNA
Rfam family: Bacterial small subunit ribosomal RNA
Source: RNAcentral
UACGUAGGUGGCAAGCGUUGUCCGGAUUUACUGGGCGUAAAGAGCGCGCAGGCGGUCGGAUCAGUCGAAUGUGAAAGCCCCCGGCUCAACUGGGGAGGGUCAUUCGAUACUGUCCGACUCGAAGGCAGGAGAGGGAAGCGGAAUUCCCGGUGUAGUGGUGAAAUUCGUAGAUAUUCGGCGGAACACCAGUGGCGAAGGCGGCUUCCUGGACCGACACUGACGCUGAGGCGCGAAAGCUAGGGGAGCAAACGGG